CCUGCCCUACCAAGAGAGACAUUUUAGGUGUGACUAUAGUGCCACGUGUGUGUCAGUAGGCGUCAGAAAGGAAAGAGAGGCUGUGUUUAUGCUUGGGAUUCUGAGCUAUGGACAUCUGAAUCAUGAGAAGCCAAACAUU
Mus spicilegus (steppe mouse) is the source of this 139-nucleotide small nucleolar RNA. Ensembl annotates it as predicted gene, 23234. The record is from Ensembl. Lineage: Eukaryota; Metazoa; Chordata; Mammalia; Rodentia; Muridae.